Molecule: ribosomal RNA, 411 nt
Filed under: uncultured bacterium
Lineage: Bacteria
Description: bacterial SSU rRNA
Rfam family: Bacterial small subunit ribosomal RNA
Source: RNAcentral
AUUGAACGCUGGCGGCAUGCCUUACACAUGCAAGUCGAACGGCAGCGCGGGGCAACCUGGCGGCGAGUGGCGAACGGGUGAGUAAUAUAUCGGAACAUACCCUAGAGUGGGGGAUAACGUAGCGAAAGUUACGCUAAUACCGCAUACGCACUAAGGUGGAAAGUGGGGGAUUCGCAAGAACCUCAUGCUCAUGGAGUGGCCGAUAUCUGAUUAGCUAGUUGGUGAGGUAAAGGCUCACCAAGGCGACGAUCAGUAGCUGGUUUGAGAGAACGACCAGCCACACUGGAACUGAGACACGGUCCAGACUCCUACGGGAGGCAGCAGUGGGGAAUUUUGGACAAUGGGGGCAACCCUGAUUCAGCAAUGCCGCGUGAGUGAAGAAGGCCUUCGGUGUAAGCUCUUUGUCUAGGG